CCCUUAGAUGUUCUGGGCCGCACACGCGCUACACUGAAGGAGGCAGCGUGUACUCCUGGAUCGAAAGAUUUGGGUAACCCGCGAAUCUCCUUCGUGCUAGGGAUUGAGGUUUGCAAUUAUCCUUCAUGAACGAGGAAUUCCCAGUAAGUGCAAGUCAUAAGCUUGCGCUGACUACGUCCCUGCCCUUUGUACACACCGCCCGUCGCUACUACCGAUUGAAUGAUUUAGUGAGGACUUCGGACUGAGUCCAAUGCGGCUUUCGGGCUGCGUUGGUAUUUCGGAAAGAUGUCCAAACUGUAUCAUUUAGAGGAAGUAAAAGUCGUANCA
This 327-nucleotide ribosomal RNA is filed under the name uncultured eukaryote. Its description in RNAcentral is "partial 18S ribosomal RNA". It matches the Rfam family "Eukaryotic small subunit ribosomal RNA", at positions 1470 to 1796 of the family's 1831-position model. The record is from RNAcentral.